GAUGAACGCUAGCGGCAGGCCUAAUACAUGCAAGUCGGACGGGAUCCAUCGGUAGCUUGCUAUCCAUGGUGAGAGUGGCGCACGGGUGCGUAACGCGUGAGCAACCUGCCUCCAUCAGGGGGAUAGCCUCUCGAAAGAGAGAUUAACACCGCAUAACAUAUCAGACCGGCAUCGGUCGGAUAUCAAAUAUUUAUAGGAUGGAGAUGGGCUCGCGUGACAUUAGCUUGUUGGUGGGGUAACAGCCCACCAAGGCGACGAUGUCUAGGGGCUCUGAGAGGAGAAUCCCCCACACUGGUACUGAGACACGGACCAGACUCCUACGGGAGGCAGCAGUAAGGAAUAUUGGUCAAUGGGCGGAAGCCUGAACCAGCCAUGCCGCGUGCAGGAUGACUGCCCUAUGGGUUGUAAACUGCUUUUGUCCGGGAAUAAACCUCCUUACGUGUAGGGAGCUGAAUGUACCGGAAGAAUAAGGAUCGGCUAACUCCGUG
RNAcentral lists this ribosomal RNA (488 nucleotides) under uncultured bacterium. RNAcentral's name for it is "partial 16S ribosomal RNA". It matches the Rfam family "Bacterial small subunit ribosomal RNA", at positions 28 to 507 of the family's 1533-position model. The record is from RNAcentral.